GUCUACGGCCGGCCAUACCACCCUGAACACGCCCGAUCUCAUCUGAUCUCGGAAGCUAAGCAGCGUUGGGCCUGGUUAGUACUUGGGUGGGAGACUGCCUGGGAAUACCGGGUGCUGUAGGCA
Molecule: ribosomal RNA, 123 nt
Filed under: Aotus nancymaae (Ma's night monkey)
Lineage: Eukaryota; Metazoa; Chordata; Mammalia; Primates; Aotidae
Source: RNAcentral